RNAcentral lists this long non-coding RNA (2490 nucleotides) under Patiria miniata (bat star). RNAcentral's name for it is "uncharacterized LOC119721122". The record is from RNAcentral. Lineage: Eukaryota; Metazoa; Echinodermata; Asteroidea; Valvatida; Asterinidae.
AUGUCACUGGCCAAGCCUCAACACAUUGACAGUGUGCUGCCGUAGGAUUUUGCAGGAUUCAGGCAGUGGUCACCCCUCCAUGGACCAUAUUCAAGAAAUAACUAGAGCUAUGUCUGUUCGACGAACAGAACAUCCGGGCUCCCUCAAGCCCACUUUUGGAAUAUGCCCCCUUUUUAUACAAAAGUGUGACACACCCCCCAAAAAAGAAAAAUUUUAUUUUAUGAUUUGACAGGCAAGCAUUCUGUCUAGCCGCUUUCCUGUACUGAAAGGGAAACAAAAACAAAGAAAUGUCCGUUACAGCUCGAUUUCUGUUAAUUACAUUUGCCUCCUGCUUUAUUAAAAUGUGGCCCCAACCUUGAAGAGGAGAAAAUUCUGGAUAUUUUUACUCGGUACAUGCUCUUGGGUGAGCUGUCCGAAAGCUAAAAAGAGAAGUAAAAUAAUUCGAAUCAUUUUUUGCGCAUGAAGGCCCCAAUUUAUAAAGUCAUGGCCCCACCCAUAAAGGGGUCAGAAAAAAAUGGCAUGAAGUGGUUUUGAACUUCUUGGGGUGUCUAUUAGUUAUCCCGAGGGUUUCAAAGAAUGUACCUGAAAAUGCAAGGGAGGUCAUUUUCGACUGUAAGCCCACUGACUAUGUCAAAAGUCAAAAACAUUUUCCAACAUGCAUUUUAUCCCCCUUUGUUUAAACAUUUUUUAGCACCAACUACUGGUACAGUUAGAUAGAUUACCCCAAAGAACCUCCGAUUCACAUGUACCGGAACUUUGAAUAAAUUGUAGCUGUUAAUUUAUUACGAAAGUCUGAUUUUCCCAUGUCUUAAGAAAAACAAUUUAACCCCGCCUACUUCUCUUAUAGGAGCAAUAUCUGGUUUUGAUAAUCUGCAAAUGGACAAUUCCACGCAAAAAAAAAGGAGCCUGCUGGGAAGUGGAAACGGUAUGAAAUCUUCCAAAAUGCAAGCAUUACAAUGUCACAUGUGGUGUCAAAUAAAAGGGGAAAACAUCAUCUUUCAUUUGAGUGGUGUGCCAUUGAGAUGGAAUGUAGUGAUUUUUGGUAAAGUGUGAUUUUGGGUAAAAAAAGGUUUUUUUUGGCAUAAAAUCAUGGAUUUUUGGUAGUCAUUUUGGCACCUUGUUUUAACAUGCAAAAUGUGACUGUAAUUGAGAGUUUUUGUGUUUAAGGCAGAGAGAAAGGUUCAUAUUAAAAAAAAAAGAGUUUCACUAUGUUGCAGUGCAUCAAACUCAGAUUUUAUGCCGUGUUAGAAACCAUGAAGAGGAAGUAAUGUGAGUGACGGUACCUCCCUGUAGUCUAAUGUUCCUUGUCUUUAUGUACUUUAUUCAAAUUGGGUUUUUGUGUGAUGAGUUUGCAUGAAAGGUAAAAUAAUGUUACUUCUGUGUUGCAGACUACAGUUUUAGGAGACUUUAAUGCGCCUAUCAAAAACCAUCUGAAAUAAUCUCGAGAUAAAUCAGUCAAGAAAAAUGGAUCUGUAAAGGAUAAUGCCCUAGGUACGCGACAUUCGUGGGUGAAAAUGGCCCGAGGGCUUCGCCCUCGGGCCAUUCUUACCACGAAUGGCGCGUUACCGAGCGGCAUUAUCCGACUUACACUCCACCUGUGACGUCCCCCUAUUGUUUCUAGCGCUACAUUAUUUUGCACGAAUGGAGCGAUUUUGUUUCAUACAAAGACACAAGCUUUGUCUUAUUGCAUAACUGUAAACUGCAUUAGUAUAAAUGGAACUGUAGCCUACAGAAUUGUACUGCGAAUAAGAAUAUGUUCUUACGUAACCAAUACAAUGCUGGAUUCUAGGCGCUUGGUAUGAAAUGCUAAACCUCGCCCAGGCACCAUGCAUUCGUUCUUGAAUAGUGUGCUGAUGACACGCAGUGUUUAGUCUCAAGACGUUGAGGAAAUAAUGCCGUACGUGGGGGAUACAGUGGAAUCAUAGCGGGCCAGGAAACCGUCUUUGAUAGUUGCUGAAACUAGCUCCGUGGAUAUAUCGGAUGAUAAUUUACUGGCCGCUUCACACUUUGCCUGGGACAUAUAAAAGUUCAUUUCGACACUCCAAAUGAAUAUGAAGAUUGCAUGUAUGAGUAUGAAGACUAUGGAUAGUGUCACGAAGAGGGUCCAAACUAGCGGGCAAUCUCCAGUCGGACUACUUCGUAACCAACGCAACUCGAGACUAUAAUUACUCAUUAUUGGACAAGGAAGGACGAGCUAAAACCACUCAAAUUGCAAGAUUAAGAUUUUGGUGCAUUUUUAAAGCAAAACGGCUACAAGUCUUUCGGGUUUACAUUGCACGAACUUGUGAUUUUCCUUCAACUGUUCUUGGACAUCAUGGAAAAGACCUACACAUUUUUUUCAGGAUGAUGAGUUCUUGCCGAUCAAGAAUUUCUAGGACUGCAUACUAGGCAUUGAAACCCAGGAACAAGAUCGAGAUAUAAACUGUACUGCAAACCUUGUCAAAAUAUUUGCUUUAAAGGGAAAAUACAACAUUUGCAAACAUCAAAAAA